Long non-coding RNA from Cornus florida, 1335 nucleotides. RefSeq lists it as uncharacterized. The record is from RefSeq and is a predicted model, not a curated record. NCBI's taxonomy places the organism in Eukaryota, Viridiplantae, Streptophyta, Magnoliopsida, Cornales, Cornaceae. The transcript is spliced from 2 exons.
UUUAUGUUCCUCUCUCUUCUUCUUGAUUUUUCUUUUUCUUUUGGGUACCAAACUUCAAAUCAAGAUUUCUCCUUCAAUAUUUAGAAUUUUUGGAAGCCGUUUGCGGCAAAUCGAAGCCUACGACGAGGCCUUCAAAUCCAUACCAGCAAUUUCAGCAUUUGGCACUUUAGGGAGUUCAAAAAUUUGGACCCAUUUUGAGGGUUUUGCACAAUUUUGAGGUACACCACAGUGACUUCAGUGAGAGAGUGCUGCCUAAUUUUUCAGGACCACUCUUACACCUCUCUCUCUAUUCUCUAUUUAUCCCAUCUUACACUUGCAUGUCCACUGUGCACUGAUUAUCCUAUCUUGUUAUCUAAUGAGUUUAUUCGAGUGCAAACUUUUCAGGACCACAGUUUAUCCCAAGUUUGGGGGGGCCAUGCCACCCACUUUGGAUACUUCUAUCCCGAUCAUUCAUGUCUAAAGCACUGGUAUACUCUUUCUUUUGUUCUCUUCACACAUUGAGGACAAUGUGCAGUUUAAGUUUGGGGGUAUUGGUGUAUGUUUCAGUGUUACUUUAAAAUUCAAAUUUUGAGCAUGUCUUGUGUAUUUGAGGGAUAUUUCUAUACUUGGUCCAUUUCUAGCUAUGAUUUUGAUCUUUUGAGGACUAUAUUGCUUAAAAUUUAAAAAUUGCUUGACUUGAGAGUCCAAUACUCCUUGUAUGCCUUGAAGAUGCCAUUUAGGAGUAAAUUUUUCAAAAGAUUGAUAUCUUGCUUGCAUUUGUGGUCCACAUCAUCCUGAUUUUGUGAUUGUUUUGAGAUUCAUUCUAGGAUUCUACAUUAGCACCGGCGCACGCUAGCAUUCAAUUGUGGGGUACAUGCUUUGUUGAUUAUUGAAUUGGUUAUAUCCCAAUUGGGCUAGUAGUGCAUUGAAAGCUUUCAUUCUUGAUAAAGGUGGAUAACAACCCCUUUCCAUUGAGUAGCCGGGAUUCUUGCCUCAUUAAGCAGUGAACUUCUCGCGCCGAAAGGUGGAGGGCCCAAACUCUAGGUUAAUAAUUGAAUUGAAAAAAAGAAAAAAAGAAAAAGAAGAAGUUACAAAAAGCAAUAAAAGUGAGGACUUCUCCCAAAAGGUGAGAAGUGGGAAAUGAUUAGAUGGUUGUUGUCUUGAUUUGUAGCCUAGUUGAUUUGAGUUUGUAAGUCCGUAGGGGUGUCUUAACACCUAAUGCCCUAAAGCCAUCUGGUUUGGGAGUCAUUGACCUAAAGCUCGCUACAUGAAUCUUCUAGAAAGCUUAAGAGAUCAACACAUUGCACAAUACUUCCAUCUUUGAUCCUCAAUAAAAAUAAAAAAAUAAAAAAAAUA